GACGUAGGAGGCGAGCGUUAUUCGGAUUUACUGGGCGUAAAGCGCGUGCAGGCGGUUUGGUAAGUUGGAUGUAAAAGCUCCUGGCUUAACUGGGAGAAGUUGUUCAAUACUGCCAGACUUGAGAUCGGUAGAGGAAGGUGGAAUUCCGGGUGUAGUGGUGAAAUGCGUAGAUAUCCGGAGGAACACCAGUGGCGAAAGCGACCUUCUGGACCGGUUCUGACGCUCAGACGCGAAAGCUAGGGGAGCAAACGGG
RNAcentral lists this ribosomal RNA (253 nucleotides) under uncultured bacterium. RNAcentral's name for it is "partial 16S ribosomal RNA". It matches the Rfam family "Bacterial small subunit ribosomal RNA", at positions 524 to 776 of the family's 1533-position model. The record is from RNAcentral.